This 490-nucleotide ribosomal RNA is filed under the name uncultured bacterium. RNAcentral's name for it is "partial 16S ribosomal RNA". It matches the Rfam family "Bacterial small subunit ribosomal RNA", at positions 30 to 507 of the family's 1533-position model. The record is from RNAcentral.
AUUGAACGCUGGCGGCAGGCCUAACACAUGCAAGUCGAACGGUAACAGGAAGAAGCUUGCUUCUUUGCUGACGAGUGGCGGACGGGUGAGUAAUGUCUGGGAAACUGCCUGAUGGAGGGGGAUAACUACUGGAAACGGUAGCUAAUACCGCAUAACGUCGCAAGACCAAAGAGGGGGACCUUCGGGCCUCUUGCCAUCGGAUGUGCCCAGAUGGGAUUAGCUAGUAGGUGGGGUAACGGCUCACCUAGGCGACGAUCCCUAGCUGGUCUGAGAGGAUGACCAGCCACACUGGAACUGAGACACGGUCCAUACUCCUACGGGAGGCAGCAGUGGGGAAUAUUGCACAAUGGGCGCAAGCCUGAUGCAGCCAUGCCGCGUGUAUGAAGAAGGCCUUCGGGUUGUAAAGUACUUUCAGCGGGGAGGAAGGGAGUAAAGUUAAUACCUUUGCUCAUUGACGUUACCCGCAGAAGAAGCACCGGCUAACUCCGUG